AUUGAACGCUGGCGGCAGGCCUAACACAUGCAAGUCGAACGGUAACAGGGAUCAGCUUGCUGAUUCGCUGACGAGUGGCGGACGGGUGAGUAAUGUCUGGGAAACUGCCUGAUGGAGGGGGAUAACUACUGGAAACGGUAGCUAAUACCGCAUAACGUCGCAAGACCAAAGAGGGGGACCUUCGGGCCUCUUGCCAUCGGAUGUGCCCAGAUGGGAUUAGCUAGUAGGUGGGGUAACGGCUCACCUAGGCGACGAUCCCUAGCUGGUCUGAGAGGAUGACCAGCCACACUAGAACUGAGACACGGUCCAGACUCCUACGGGAGGCAGCAGUGGGGAAUAUUGCACAAUGGGCGCAAGCCUGAUGCAGCCAUGCCGCGUGUAUGAAGAAGGCCUUCGGGUUGUAAAGUACUUUCAGCGGGGAGGAAGGGAGUAAAGUUAAUACCUUUGCUCAUUGACGUUACCCGCAGAAGAAGCACCGGCUAACUCCGUG
Molecule: ribosomal RNA, 490 nt
Filed under: uncultured bacterium
Lineage: Bacteria
Description: partial 16S ribosomal RNA
Rfam family: Bacterial small subunit ribosomal RNA
Source: RNAcentral